AGAUUAGAGUUUGAUCAUGGCUCAGAUUGAACGCUGGCGGCAGGCUUAACACAUGCAAGUCGAGCGGGGGAGAUUGCUUCGGUAAUUGACCUAGCGGCGGACGGGUGAGUAAUACUUAGGAAUCUGCCUAUUAAUGGGGGACAACAUCUCGAAAGGGAUGCUAAUACCGCAUACGCCCUACGGGGGAAAGCAGGGGAUCACUUGUGACCUUGCGUUAAUAGAUGAGCCUAAGUCGGAUUAGCUAGUUGGUGGGGUAAAGGCCUACCAAGGCGACGAUCUGUAGCGGGUCUGAGAGGAUGAUCCGCCACACUGGGACUGAGACACGGCCCAGACUCCUACGGGAGGCAGCAGUGGGGAAUAUUGGACAAUGGGGGGAACCCUGAUCCAGCCAUGCCGCGUGUGUGAAGAAGGCCUUAUGGUUGUAAAGCACUUUAAGCGAGGAGGAGGCUCUCUUGGUUAAUACCCAAGAUGAGUGGACGUUACUCGCAGAAUAAGCACCGGCUAACUCUGUGCCAGCAGCCGCGGUAAUACAGAGGGUGCGAGCGUUAAUCGGAUUUACUGGGCGUAAAGCGUGCGUAGGCGGCUUUUUAAGUCGGAUGUGAAAUCCCCGAGCUUAACUUGGGAAUUGCAUUCGAUACUGGGAAGCUAGAGUAUGGGAGAGGAUGGUAGAAUUCCAGGUGUAGCGGUGAAAUGCGUAGAGAUCUGGAGGAAUACCGAUGGCGAAGGCAGCCAUCUGGCCUAAUACUGACGCUGAGGUACGAAAGCAUGGGGAGCAAACAGGAUUAGAUACCCUGGUAGUCCAUGCCGUAAACGAUGUCUACUAGUCGUUGGGGCCUUUGAGGCUUUAGUGGCGCAGCUAACGCGAUAAGUAGACCGCCUGGGGAGUACGGUCGCAAGACUAAAACUCAAAUGAAUUGACGGGGGCCCGCACAAGCGGUGGAGCAUGUGGUUUAAUUCGAUGCAACGCGAAAAACUUACCUGGUCUUGACAUAGUAAGAACUUUCCAGAGAUGGAAUGGUGCCUUCGGGAACUUACAUACAGGGGCUGCAAGGCUGUCUCCAGCUCGUGUCGUAGGAUGUUGGGUAAAGUUCCCGCAACGAGUCGCACCUUUCCCUAUUUUGUCCAGGCACUUCUGGUGUGGAACUUUAAGGGUACUGGCCUGUGGUACAACUUGAAGUAGGGCGGGACACACUCCAGUCUCAUCUGGUCUUACUAAAACCAAGGGCUGACCACCCAUGG
Molecule: ribosomal RNA, 1239 nt
Filed under: uncultured bacterium
Lineage: Bacteria
Description: bacterial SSU rRNA
Rfam family: Bacterial small subunit ribosomal RNA
Source: RNAcentral